Molecule: ribosomal RNA, 513 nt
Filed under: uncultured bacterium
Lineage: Bacteria
Description: bacterial SSU rRNA
Rfam family: Bacterial small subunit ribosomal RNA
Source: RNAcentral
GAGUUUGAUCUUGGCUCAGAUUGAACGCUGGCGGCAGGCCUAACACAUGCAAGUCGGGCGGUAGAGAGAAGCUUGCUUCUCUUGAGAGCGGCGGACGGGUGAGUAAUGCCUAGGAAUCUGCCUGGUAGUGGGGGAUAACGCUCGGAAACGGACGCUAAUACCGCAUACGUCCUACGGGAGAAAGCAGGGGACCUUCGGGCCUUGCGCUAUCAGAUGAGCCUAGGUCGGAUUAGCUAGUUGGUGAGGUAAUGGCUCACCAAGGCGACGAUCCGUAACUGGUCUGAGAGGAUGAUCAGUCACACUGGAACUGAGACACGGUCCAGACUCCUACGGGAGGCAGCAGUGGGGAAUACUGGACAAUGGGCGAAAGCCUGAUCCAGCCAUGCCGCGUGUGUGAAGAAGGUCUUCGGAUUGUAAAGCACUUUAAGUUGGAGGAAGGGCAGUAAAUUAAUAACUUUGCUGUUUUGACGUUACCGACAGAAUAAGCACCGGCUAACUCUGUGCCAGCAGCCG